Molecule: ribosomal RNA, 500 nt
Filed under: uncultured bacterium
Lineage: Bacteria
Description: partial 16S ribosomal RNA
Rfam family: Bacterial small subunit ribosomal RNA
Source: RNAcentral
GAUGAACGCUGGCGGCGUGCCUAAUACAUGCAAGUCGAGCGCACAGACGAGGGCCCUUGUUCUCUUCACCGCGAGUCGCCACGGGGUGAGUCACAUGUGCGAAACCCCCCCUCCACCGGGGGAUCUCCGUCGGACCCGAUGACUAAUACCGCAUCGUUGUUCCAGCCACGUGCCAGGAUUGGGAGAGACGCUUUCUGUCGCUACUGGAGGGAGCCCCCCCGGUGCAUCUGCUAGACGGGAGGGUAACGGCCUACCGUGGCACUGAUGCAUAGCCGACCUGAGAGGGUGAUCGGCCACACUGGGACUGAGACACGGCCCAAACUCCGACGGGAGGCAGCAGUAGGGAAUCUUCCGCAAUGGACGGAAGUCUGACGGAGCAACGCCGCGUGUGUGAUGAAGGUCUUCGGAUCGUAAAGCACUGUUAUCAGGGAAGAACAGCCUAUUGAGUAACUGUUCACGGCUUGACGGUAGCUAAUCAGAAAGCCACGGCUAACUACGUG